This 252-nucleotide ribosomal RNA is filed under the name uncultured bacterium. RNAcentral describes it as "partial 16S ribosomal RNA". It matches the Rfam family "Bacterial small subunit ribosomal RNA", at positions 524 to 775 of the family's 1533-position model. The record is from RNAcentral.
UACGGAGGGUGCAAGCGUUAUCCGGAUUCACUGGGUUUAAAGGGUGCGUAGGUGGGCAGGUAAGUCAGUGGUGAAAUCUCCGGGCUUAACCCGGAAACUGCCGUUGAUACUAUCUGUCUUGAAUGUAGUGGAGGUGAGCGGAAUAUGUCAUGUAGCGGUGAAAUGCUUAGAUAUGACAUAGAACAUCAAUUGCGAAGGCAGCUCGCUACACGGUUAUUGACACUGAGGCACGAAAGCGUGGGGAUCAAACAG